Molecule: ribosomal RNA, 253 nt
Filed under: uncultured bacterium
Lineage: Bacteria
Description: partial 16S ribosomal RNA
Rfam family: Bacterial small subunit ribosomal RNA
Source: RNAcentral
UACGGAGGGGGCAAGCGUUGUUCGGAAUCAUUGGGCGUAAAGGGCGCGUAGGCGGCCGACCAAGUCGGGUGUGAAAUCCCUCGGCUCAACCGAGGAACUGCAUUCGAUACUGGCUGGCUAGAGUCCGGGAGGGGAUGGUGGAAUUCCCAGUGUAGCGGUGAAAUGCGUAGAUAUUGGGAAGAACACCGGUGGCGAAGGCGGCCAUCUGGACCGGUACUGACGCUGAGGCGCGAAAGCCAGGGGAGCGAAUGGG